RNAcentral lists this ribosomal RNA (491 nucleotides) under uncultured bacterium. RNAcentral's name for it is "partial 16S ribosomal RNA". It matches the Rfam family "Bacterial small subunit ribosomal RNA", at positions 28 to 507 of the family's 1533-position model. The record is from RNAcentral.
GAUGAACGCUGUCUACAGGCUUAACACAUGCAAGUCGAGGGGAAACGACGGGGAAGCUUGCUUCCCCGGGCGUCGACCGGCGCACGGGUGAGUAACGCGUAUCCAACCUGCCUCUGACUGAGGGAUAACCCGUCGAAAGUCGGCCUAAUACCUCAUGGCAUCGUCUGCGGGCAUCCAACGACGAUUAAAGAUUUCAUCGGUCAGGGACGUGGAUGCGUCUGAUUAGCUUGCUGGCGGGGGAACGGCCCACCAAGGCUACGAUCAGUAGGUGUUCUGAGAGGAAGGUCCCCCACAUGGGAGCUGGGACACGGUCCAAACUCCUACGGGAGGCAGCAGUGAGGAAUAUUGGUCAAUGGGCGGGAGCCUGAGCCAGCCAAGUAGCGUGCAGGAUAACAGCCCUAUGGGUUGUAAACUGCUUUUAUGCGGGGAUAAAGUGAGGGACGUGUCCGUCAUUGCAGGUACCGCAUGAAUAAGGACCGGCUAAUUCCGUG